GGAUCACUCCAAUAGCUUAUAUGAGAAUAGCCAUGUGUGUCAAGUGUAAAUCAUUUUACCCUAUUAUGAUAUGAUUGUUAAGGAGCCAUACAUAUUCUUAUCAACUUAGACAGGAUGCUCUCUAAAGUGUUUUCAGAUUAUCAGUUAGGGGAACAUUGCAUUUCAAGAGGUCCCGAAGUAGAAGUUAACAGUUAUUCUUGUUUGGGGGCUUACUUUCUUCAGACACAUUGGCUCCACAUCAAUAUAUAAGCAUCUUGAUCUUUGACUUGAAGUGAUGUUUAGUUACAAAUCAAGCCUCAUGGCAAUUAGGAAAAGUCCAAAAAAAGCAUAGGACAAAGGUUCAACCAUAGAGUGAAGCUUGUUUACAAAGCGUUCUCAUAUCACAAAAGGACAUACUGAUUUAGAGCUCAUGGUGAUUUCUUCAGAAUAAGAGUUUGAGACUGCUAUUGAAAUUCUUUACCAAUUACUCUGCCCCCACAUUUAGUCUUUAGAUACUUGCUCACAAAAUCCAGCUGUAAGUGGAUAGAAGUCAUACAUUUGUCUUUUGGCAGUUUUAUUAUAUUGCAUAACAUCGUCAAAAAAAAA
This 585-nucleotide unclassified non-coding RNA is filed under the name Hevea brasiliensis (rubber tree). The record is from RNAcentral. Lineage: Eukaryota; Viridiplantae; Streptophyta; Magnoliopsida; Malpighiales; Euphorbiaceae.